CGGUAACAUUUCUAGCUUGCUAGAAGAUGACGAGUGGCGGACGGGUGAGUAAUGCUUGGGAACUUGCCUUUGCGAGGGGGAUAACAGUUGGAAACGACUGCUAAUACCGCAUAAUGUCUUCGGACCAAACGGGGCUUCGGCUCCGGCGCAAAGAGAGGCCCAAGUGAGAUUAGCUAGUUGGUAAGGUAACGGCUUACCAAGGCGACGAUCUCUAGCUGUUCUGAGAGGAAGAUCAGCCACACUGGGACUGAGACACGGCCCAGACUCCUACGGGAGGCAGCAGUGGGGAAUAUUGCACAAUGGGGGAAACCCUGAUGCAGCCAUGCCGCGUGUGUGAAGAAGGCCUUCGGGUUGUAAAGCACUUUCAGUUGUGAGGAAAAGUUAGUAGUUAAUACCUGCUAGCCGUGACGUUAACAACAGAAGAAGCACCGGCUAACUCCGUGCCAGCAGCCGCGGUAAUACGGAGGGUGCGAGCGUUAAUCGGAAUUACUGGGCGUAAAGCGCACGCAGGCGGUUUGUUAAGCUAGAUGUGAAAGCCCCGGGCUCAACCUGGGAUGGUCAUUUAGAACUGGCAGACUAGAGUCUUGGAGAGGGGAGUGGAAUUCCAGGUGUAGCGGUGAAAUGCGUAGAUAUCUGGAGGAACAUCAGUGGCGAAAGGCGACUCCCUGGCCAAAGACUGACGCUCAUGUGCGAAAGUGUGGGUAGCGAACAGGAUUAGAUACCCUGGUAGUCCACACCGUAAACGCUGUCUACUAGCUGUGUGUGCCUUUAAGGCGUGCGUAGCGAAGCUAACGCGCUAAGUAG
This 804-nucleotide ribosomal RNA is filed under the name uncultured bacterium. RNAcentral describes it as "bacterial SSU rRNA". It matches the Rfam family "Bacterial small subunit ribosomal RNA", at positions 67 to 867 of the family's 1533-position model. The record is from RNAcentral.